GAUGAAGAACGUAGCGAAAUGCGAUAAGUAAUGUGAAUUGCAGAAUUCAGUGAAUCAUCGAAUCUUUGAACGCACAUUGCGCCCAUUAGUAUUCUAGUGGGCAUGCCUGUUCGAGCGUCAUUUCAACCCUUAAGCCUAGCUUAGUAUUGGGAAUCGACUUUACUGUCGUUCCUCAAAUUCAACGGCGGAUUUAUAGCAAUCUCUGUACGUAGUAAUUUUUUUCCUCGUUUUUGAAAUACUAUAAACCUCAGCCGCUAAACCCCCAAUUUUUCUAUGGUUGACCUCGGAUCAGGUAGGAAUACCCGCUGAACUUAAGCAUAUCAAUAAGCGGAGGA
Molecule: unclassified non-coding RNA, 335 nt
Filed under: soil metagenome
Description: partial contains 5.8S ribosomal RNA, internal transcribed spacer 2, and large subunit ribosomal RNA
Rfam family: 5.8S ribosomal RNA (bases 1-120)
Source: RNAcentral